Molecule: non-coding RNA, 26 nt
Filed under: Mus musculus (house mouse)
Lineage: Eukaryota; Metazoa; Chordata; Mammalia; Rodentia; Muridae
Source: RNAcentral
CAUCUUUCCAUUUCCAACUCCGUGCA